Molecule: ribosomal RNA, 253 nt
Filed under: uncultured bacterium
Lineage: Bacteria
Description: partial 16S ribosomal RNA
Rfam family: Bacterial small subunit ribosomal RNA
Source: RNAcentral
UACGUAGGGGGCAAGCGUUGUCCGGAAUCAUUGGGCGUAAAGCGCGUGUAGGCGGUCCGGUAAGUCCGCUGUGAAAGUCGGGGGCUUAACCCUCGGAUGCCGGUGGAUACUGUCGGGCUUGAGUACGGAAGAGGCGAGUGGAAUUCCUGGUGUAGCGGUGAAAUGCGCAGAUAUCAGGAGGAACACCAAUUGCGAAGGCAGCUCGCUGGGACGGUACUGACGCUGAGACGCGAAAGCGUGGGGAGCAAACAGG